RNAcentral lists this ribosomal RNA (659 nucleotides) under uncultured bacterium. RNAcentral describes it as "bacterial SSU rRNA". It matches the Rfam family "Bacterial small subunit ribosomal RNA", at positions 45 to 701 of the family's 1533-position model. The record is from RNAcentral.
AGCCUAACACAUGCAAGUCGAACGGUAACAGGUCUUCGGACGCUGACGAGUGGCGAACGGGUGAGUAAUACAUCGGAACGUGCCCAGUCGUGGGGGAUAACUACUCGAAAGAGUAGCUAAUACCGCAUACGAUCUGAGGAUGAAAGCGGGGGACCUUCGGGCCUCGCGCGAUUGGAGCGGCCGAUGGCAGAUUAGGUAGUUGGUGGGAUAAAAGCUUACCAAGCCGACGAUCUGUAGCUGGUCUGAGAGGACGACCAGCCACACUGGGACUGAGACACGGCCCAGACUCCUACGGGAGGCAGCAGUGGGGAAUUUUGGACAAUGGGCGAAAGCCUGAUCCAGCAAUGCCGCGUGCAGGAUGAAGGCCUUCGGGUUGUAAACUGCUUUUGUACGGAACGAAAAAGCUUCUCCUAAUACGAGAGGCCCAUGACGGUACCGUAAGAAUAAGCACCGGCUAACUACGUGCCAGCAGCCGCGGUAAUACGUAGGGUGCGAGCGUUAAUCGGAAUUACUGGGCGUAAAGCGUGCGCAGGCGGUUAUGUAAGACAGAUGUGAAAUCCCCGGGCUCAACCUGGGAACUGCAUUUGUGACUGCAUGGCUAGAGUACGGUAGAGGGUGAUGGAAUUCCGCGUGUAGCAGUGAAAUGCGUAGAUAUGCGG